Molecule: transfer RNA, 78 nt
Filed under: Caldivirga sp. JCHS_4
Lineage: Archaea; Thermoproteati; Thermoproteota; Thermoprotei; Thermoproteales; Thermoproteaceae
Also listed under: 3 other names
Description: tRNA-Lys
Rfam family: tRNA
About the family: Transfer RNA (tRNA) molecules are approximately 80 nucleotides in length. Their secondary structure includes four short double-helical elements and three loops (D, anti-codon, and T loops).
Source: RNAcentral
GGGCCCGUAGCUCAGCCUGGCCAGAGCGGCGGGCUCUUAACCCGUAGGUCGUGGGUUCGAAUCCCACCGGGCCCGCCA